AGUCGAGGGGUAUAGUAGCAAUACUAGAGACCGGCGCACGGGUGCGUAACGCGUAUGCAAUCUACCUUUCACAGAGGGAUAGCCCAGAGAAAUUUGGAUUAAUACCUCAUAGUAUAAUACCUUGGCAUCAAGGCAUUAUUAAAGUCACAACGGUGAAAGAUGAGCAUGCGUCCCAUUAGCUAGUUGGUAUGGUAACGGCAUACCAAGGCAACGAUGGGUAGGGGUCCUGAGAGGGAGAUCCCCCACACUGGUACUGAGACACGGAGCAGACUCCUACGGGAGGCAGCAGUGAGGAAUAUUGGACAAUGGGCGCAAGCCUGAUCCAGCCAUGCCGCGUGCAGGAUGACGGUCCUAUGGAUUGUAAACUGCUUUUGCACAGGAAGAAACACUCGGACGUGUCCGAGCUUGACGGUACUGUGAGAAUAAGGAUCGGCUAACUCCGUGCCAGCAGCCGCGGUAAUACGGAGGAUCCAAGCGUUAUCCGGAAUCAUUGGGUUUAAAGGGUCCGUAGGCGGCUUUAUAAGUCAGUGGUGAAAUCUCCCCGCUCAACGGGGAAACGGCCAUUGAUACUGUAAGGCUUGAAUUAUUAGGAAGUAACUAGAAUAUGUAGUGUAGCGGUGAAAUGCUUAGAGAUUACAUGGAAUACCAAUUGCGAAGGCAGGUUACUACUAAUGGAUUGACGCUGAUGGACGAAAGCGUGGGUAGCGAACAGGAUUAGAUACCCUGGUAGUCCACGCCGUAAACGAUGGAUACUAGCUGUUGGGAGCAAUCUCAGUGGCUAAGCGAAAGUGAUAAGUAUCCCACCUGGGGGAGUACGUUCGCAAGAAUGA
RNAcentral lists this ribosomal RNA (830 nucleotides) under uncultured bacterium. RNAcentral describes it as "bacterial SSU rRNA". It matches the Rfam family "Bacterial small subunit ribosomal RNA", at positions 60 to 897 of the family's 1533-position model. The record is from RNAcentral.